UAUACUAGGGGUGCUAAAUCCAUAAAUUUGGCUGAGAGUGAAUAGAUCGGUAUUCUAAACCCUUAACCUGAUCCAGAUAAUGCUGGCGUAGGAAAGUUUGUAAUA
RNAcentral lists this non-coding RNA (105 nucleotides) under chicken gut metagenome. RNAcentral's name for it is "TPP riboswitch (THI element)". It matches the Rfam family "TPP riboswitch aptamer (THI element)", at positions 6 to 99 of the family's 105-position model. From Rfam's summary of the family: Vitamin B(1) in its active form thiamin pyrophosphate (TPP) is an essential coenzyme that is synthesised by coupling of pyrimidine and thiazole moieties in bacteria. The previously detected thiamin-regulatory element, thi box was extended, resulting in a new, highly conserved RNA secondary structure, the THI element, which is widely distributed in eubacteria and also occurs in some archaea. The record is from RNAcentral.